RNAcentral lists this transfer RNA (83 nucleotides) under Caulobacter phage CcrPW. RNAcentral's name for it is "tRNA-Arg". Lineage: Duplodnaviria; Heunggongvirae; Uroviricota; Caudoviricetes; Jeanschmidtviridae. The record is from RNAcentral.
AGCGUACAGGCCGAGCAGGAUUAUCGUCAGGCGCCGCCCUCCGAAGGCGGAGAGGCUCGGUUCGAGUCCGAGGUACGCUGCCA